CCGCAAGGCCUCACGCGAAUGGAGCGGCCGAUGUCAGAUUAGCUAGUUGGAGAGGUAACGGCUCACCAAGCCGACGAUGGCUAGCUGGUCUGAGAGGAUGAUCAGCCACACGGGCACUGAGACACGGGCCCGACUCCUACGGGAGGCAGCAGUAAGGAAUAUUGGACAAUGGGCGAAAGCCUGAUCCAGCCACGCCGCGUGCAGGAUGACGGUCCUAUGGAUUGUAAACUGCUUUUGUCAGAGACGAAAGUGUAUGAUUUAUCAUAUUUUGACGGUAUCUGGCGAAUAAGCACCGGCUAACUACGUG
RNAcentral lists this ribosomal RNA (307 nucleotides) under uncultured bacterium. RNAcentral describes it as "bacterial SSU rRNA". It matches the Rfam family "Bacterial small subunit ribosomal RNA", at positions 200 to 507 of the family's 1533-position model. The record is from RNAcentral.